This 137-nucleotide small nucleolar RNA is filed under the name Oryza punctata. RNAcentral's name for it is "Small nucleolar RNA Z247". It matches the Rfam family "Small nucleolar RNA Z247". Rfam says of the family: Z247 is a member of the C/D class of snoRNA which contain the C (UGAUGA) and D (CUGA) box motifs. Lineage: Eukaryota; Viridiplantae; Streptophyta; Magnoliopsida; Poales; Poaceae. The record is from Rfam by way of RNAcentral.
ACAAAUGAUGAAGAAGAACUCGUCGCCUACAUGAUCGCCGGACUCGACUCUGAUUAUGAGCCGGUAGUAUUAGCCCUUGCUGCACAGAAGGAACCUGUCACCGUAGGAGAACUCUACGGGCAGCUGCUAGGGUUCGA